AUGCUUGCUUUGGCAGCAUACAUACUAAAAUUGGAACAGUACAAAGAUUAGCUUGGCUCCUGCACAAGGAUGACAAACAAAUUUGUGAAGUGUUCCAUAUUUUU
This is a small nuclear RNA of Antechinus flavipes (yellow-footed antechinus), 104 nucleotides long. Lineage: Eukaryota; Metazoa; Chordata; Mammalia; Dasyuromorphia; Dasyuridae. The record is from RefSeq and is a predicted model, not a curated record.